AUCACCUCUCAAGCCUAGCUUGUUGUUGGAUUUAGGUUUUGCUUUAGGCAUGACCGACCCCAAAGAUAAUGACGGCGUCUGUGAGGACCCCAGUACACUGAGCUUUCUAAGCACGUAUUAGGUGGAAGUCUAGGCCCGUGCCUUACUUACAUUUUAACAAGGUUGACCUCGGAUCAGGUAGGAAUACCCGCUGAACUUAA
Molecule: unclassified non-coding RNA, 200 nt
Filed under: soil metagenome
Description: partial contains internal transcribed spacer 2 and large subunit ribosomal RNA
Source: RNAcentral